GGAAUAUUGGACAAUGGGCGAAAGCCUGAUCCAGCCAUGCCGCGUGAGUGAUGAAGGUCCUCGGAUUGUAAACCCCUGUCGAGCGGGACGAAUGGCCCGCGACUCAACACGUCGUGGGAGUGACGGUACCGCUAAAGGAAGCCACGGCUAACUCUGUGCCAGCAGCCGCGGUGACACGUAGGCACCAAGCGUUGUCCGGAUUUAUUGGGCGUAAAGAGCUCGUAGGCGGUUCAGUAAGUCGGGUGUGAAAACUCAGGGCUCAACCCUGAGACGCCACUCGAUACUGCUGUGACUUGAGUACGGUAGGGGAGCGGGGAAUUCCUGGUGUAGCGGUGAAAUGCGCAGAUAUCAGGAGGAACACCAGUGGCGAAGGCGCCGCUCUGGGCCGUAACUGACGCUGAGGAGCGAAAGCGUGGGGAGCAAA
This 424-nucleotide ribosomal RNA is filed under the name uncultured bacterium. Its description in RNAcentral is "bacterial SSU rRNA". It matches the Rfam family "Bacterial small subunit ribosomal RNA", at positions 358 to 772 of the family's 1533-position model. The record is from RNAcentral.